Molecule: ribosomal RNA, 409 nt
Filed under: bacterium
Lineage: Bacteria
Description: partial 16S ribosomal RNA
Rfam family: Bacterial small subunit ribosomal RNA
Source: RNAcentral
UGGGGAAUAUUGCACAAUGGGGGAAACCCUGAUGCAGCAACGCCGCGUGCGGGAUGACGGCCUUCGGGUUGUAAACCGCUUUCAGCCAUGACGAAGCUUUUGUGACGGUAGUGGCAGAAGAAGCACCGGCUAACUACGUGCCAGCAGCCGCGGUGAUACGUAGGGUGCGAGCGUUGUCCGGAAUUAUUGGGCGUAAAGAGCUUGUAGGCGGUUUGUCGCGUCGAAAGUGUAAACUCAGUGCUUAACGCUGAGCCUGCGUUCGAUACGGGCUGACUAGAGGAAGGUAGGGGAGAAUGGAAUUCCCGGUGGAGCGGUGGAAUGCGCAGAUAUCGGGAGGAACACCAGUGGCGAAGGCGGUUCUCUGGACCUUUCCUGACGCUGAGAAGCGAAAGCGUGGGUAGCAAACAGG